Molecule: long non-coding RNA, 18399 nt
Filed under: Zostera marina
Lineage: Eukaryota; Viridiplantae; Streptophyta; Magnoliopsida; Alismatales; Zosteraceae
Description: long non-coding RNA (ZMAR_LNC001892)
Source: RNAcentral
AGGACAUAUUUAAUUUCCAAUGCGUGUAGCUACGUGUCGUUGAGUUUGGAUCAUCUCAUUCUUAUGUUUGGCCUUUCUAACACACAAGUUCACAGCAUUGUGAGUAAGAUGAUGAUCACAGAGGAAUUGCAAGCAAGCUGGGACCAACCUGCAAAGUGUAUAAUAUUCCAUAGUAUGGAGCAAACAAGAGUGCAGACCCUCGCUUUCCAGCUUUCAGACAAACUCGGCGUUCUUGCUGAUAGCAAUGAAAGAGCAUAUGAGGUCCGAACAGGUGGUAGUUUGGAUGGGCUUCCUUCAAGACGGCGGACAGAUGGUCAGGAUUAUUCUGGAAAAUGGCAAGAUAAUAUCUUCACAUCACAAGGAAGGCAAGGUGGCGGUGGAGGACGUACAGGUUAUACUGGAAGAUUUGGGGGCUCUACACAAUCUUCGGUGGGAGUAUUCUCAAGGGACAAGGGAGUUGGAGGAGGGUAUGGAAUUCGGGGCACCGGUGGUGGUGCUCGGAAUCAAGAUGGAAGACAUUCAUAUCAAACAGGAUUGUCUAUGAAAGGAAGGCAGGCAGAUGCUUCAAGUCGUAUGGUUAGUCUUAGCAGGGGUGACAGAUUUUAAUGAAUGACUGUCUGACUUGGUAUUUUUUGCUUAUUGGCAAUUUUCUUAUAGCAUCGAUGAGGAUUAAAUCAUGAUCUUGAUAUAUUUUGUUUCUUCAAAUUAAACCAGUUUUAAGUUAUUGAUAAGUCAUGAUGAUGUUCUUGAUAUUAGAUUUAAUAAUUAUAAACUUUUAAUACUAUUCUGUUUUAUGUUGAAGUUCAAUUAUUCAUGCUUGUGUGAUUGUGUUUACAUUUUGCAUUAGCUUUUAAAUCUCAGUUUAGUUAUUUUUUUAGCGAGCUCUAUUGAAGUUCUUUUAUAUUGCAGUAACAUAUGGUAGCAGCUCUUCGUCGCCAUAUCAAUCCUGCAAUCAUUUAUCUGAUCAUACCUUGUAUGAUUUACUUACUCUAACAUUUAUUAGCAACAUAUUUAACGGUUAAUCCGUCAAAGCAGAAUUUGAAUUUUUAAAGUAAAAUAGAUUAGAUGAUUAUUUAAUUAUUUUCCUUCGAAAAAGACGUUAAAAAAUGUCAAAAAGAAAGAAGAAGAAAAUAUGGUGCUUACGGCUUACCCAGACAUCCAGGUUUUGACGUUUUAGAUAUAGAGAUAACUUCCAAAGCAAGAACAUGGGAGAUGCUGGCGCAGAUUUGAGAAAAUGGCGGAUUGUGAUCAAGAAAUUCCCACUCCACCCCCUACUCUGGCCAUGCUUUUUUGGUACAGUCAGCUCGAACACUCCUCCAGCAGUAGUUCUAGUAAAAAAAGAGCAAGCGAUUGGUAUGGAUUAUGGAUUCGUCAUCGUUUUUCUUCUUCUUUCGGUAUCAUUUGUUUGACGAUGAUGUGUUUGUGUUAAUGCCCAUGUCAGGAUUUUCUCCGAGGAGACCCCAAGUGAUAUCACUAUUGAUGUCGGAGGGGACGUCUUCAAUUUACAUAAGGUACGACGGGUUUAACUUGUUGGUACCAAAGUUGUGUAUUUGUAAUCCCGAUGGCCAUAUUGCAGUUCCCUCUGGUAUCAAAGUCUGGUUACCUGAAGAAAUUGCUCUCCAAGGAUAAAAAUGUCACCAACCUGUCCAUCGAGGUUGCCGAUGUUUCAAAAGCCUUCCAACUGGUAGUCAAUUUCUGCUACGGAAAAGAUUUCCAGAUAACCAUCGAAAACAUUGCGGCGCUCCGUUGCUUGUCGGAACAGCUUGAGAUGACAAACAAGUAUUCACCCAACAAUCUUGUCAGUGUAACAGAGGAUUACAUCCAACGUGUUGCAUUAACCAGUUUUCCUAACGCGAUCACUGUGUUGCGUUGCUCUGAAAAACUUGGUAAUGCUCCCAUCGUUGAGAGAGUCAGAUUGGUGAGUAGAUGUAUCAAUGCGAUAGCUUACAUAGCAUGCGACCAAGAUGAGUUCUACUCCUCACUGACAAAUGAAAAUCACCAAGGGUUUAUGGAUUGCUGGGCACAAGAUUUGACAGCCCUUGGGAUCGAUACAUUGGGAAAAGUUUUGUUUGCAAUGGCAAAAGCUGGAGUUAAACAGGAUGCUCUGGGGACAAUUCUUCUUCUCUAUGCUCAGAAAUCACUAAAAGGAAUUGUGAGUCAUCAAUGAAUUGAUAAUUCUUUUUAGUGAUUUCAUUUGAUUUUAAAUUUUUGAUGCAGGACAUAUUUGGGAGAGGAAGAAAGAAGAUGGAGUCAAGAAAGCAGUAUGAGAAAAAAGAGUGAUACUAGAAACCAUUGUUGGUCUUUUACCAAAGGAAGCAAGAGCCACUCUGCCAGUUACUUCUCUUAGCAUGUUGUUAAGAGCAGCGAUUUAUCUCGAAACAACAAUAGCUUGCAGGCUUGAUCUUGAAAAGAUGAUAAGUUUCCGGUUAGAUCAAGCCACAUUGGAUGAUCUUCUGAUUCCAUCUUUCUCCAUUGCCGAUGACACUUUGUUAGAUGUGGACACUGUUCAGAGGAUCUUGGUGAGCUUUUUAGAAUCCCAGAUUGAUGAUGAUAGUGUUGAUGACAUGGAGGAGGAGGAAUGUAAAAAGAAGAACAAAAAGGAGAGUAAGGUUGGAAAGCUCAUGGAAUUCUACCUUGCAGAGAUUUCUACUGACCUAAACUUAUCAGUUUCCAAAUUUGUUGGAUUUGCUGAGUUGAUCCCAGAAGAAGCAAGAACCACCGAAGAUGGCAUGUACAGAGCAAUCGAUAUCUAUCUCAAGGUAGUUCAAGAAGAGAUUGUGAAAUGUUAAUUAACAUCUAUCAUCAUAUAUUUUUUCUAAAAUGAUGUGCAGGCACAUCCGUCGCUAAACGACGUUGAGAAGAAGAAAAUCUCUAGUGCCAUGGAUUGCCAAAGGCUCUCUCUCAAGGCUUGCACUCAAGCAGCCCAUAACCAGAGGCUCCCUGUGCAGACCAUGGUUCAAGUUCUCUAUUACGAGCAGCAUCUUCUCCUUCUCCUGGAAGAAGAACUACAACAGGAACAGGAACAUGAACAAAUUCGUAACUGGCAGAUGAAGGUGCACCUUUAAGUGAACGGCGGGAUAAACUAAGAAUGGCGGGAUAAACUACGGUCUCUCCUUCUAAACCUCAUUUCAGUAAGUUUUGUGUAACACUGCACAAAACAUGUUUCAUUUGAAAUUUAGAGAGAGAAUGAGAAAUGAAAAUUGUGUUUGCAACCAGAAGGAAUUCACUGUGUUUGCAAGCGUUUCCCUUGCAGGUAUUUUUCUAUGAAACAGUGCUUGCAGACAUGCCAUUUUUAUAAAAAUUAAGACUUUACAAUGUGUGGCUAUAAUUAUUCUUGUUAAUUUGAUCUAUUAAUGUAGAUUAGCUAUGAAUUUGAUUUUUUACGUGAAGCUGAUGCAAUGAAGAGAAUUCGUAAAUUUGUGUAUGCUGCCAAUAAGAAACCUCCGGUUUUGAUACCUCGUGAAAUUAGCGGAUUGACAACUAGGUAUGACAAUCAGGUAUUUUUAAUUCUUUUGAAAAACUCCAGUUUUGAAAACGAAUUUAUUGGUGAUAGGGUAAUCUGAGUUUGUAAGCCAUAUGUUUGUAAAAUCAUUUGUGUUUUCAUAUUAGAUAUGAUUCAUGAGAUAGGUUUUGUAAAAUGAUAUGAAUCUUAUUAUCACUGUAUUUCACUCUUUGUGGAUUGACAAAUAGCUCAAUUAUAGGGGAUAUUGUAAUAUGGGGUAUGCUCAAUUAUUGACAGAUGUUCCAAUAAAAUAUACAUGUUCUUUUUAUAUAGAGAGACAUUAAUAGGUGUAGCCGCCGUGUAGGUAUAAUUUUAAAACUCAAUACUGCCAUAUAAAGUCAAUGGUUAUAGUUUUGCUGCAGUUCACUUAUUCUACAGUGUUUCAUAAUUUCACGUAUUCUUUAUUUUAAGAUACCUAAUCGUGGUACUUUCCAAGGUUUUAUCGACAGUCAUGCGGAGCUGACCGCAUGAGUCAGCUACACAUUUUGGGAUAUUUUGCAAAUAUCGUCCUACAUUUUCUUGUAUUUACACAAUAUAAAUAAAAUAUUAAGAUUUGAGAAAUGGAGAAAUAGAGAAUUGGAAUACUCGCUGGAGGUCUAACAGAUGUUGGAAAGGGUGGCUGAAGACUGUUCAGAGUGGAUAAGAAAACAGUGUAGAAAUCAAGCUCGUUGCUUUUUUUUAUAUUUAUUUAACCAUUUAAUGGUUAAAUGAUUAAGUGGAUCUGACCCAGCACAUAAAGGUGCUGGGCAGUAUACUCGCCUGGCCAAGCGCAUGAAAAACCUUGGUAUUUUCAACAUUGUUGCCUAUCAAUUUAGGAAUGCAAACGAGCCGAGCUAUACACUUAGAUUUGGGCUCAGCUUGCUAAGGUUUUAGUACAGCUCUGGCUUGAGCUCUCUAAGCUUGAUCGAACUAGACUUCAGCCCGGCUCGAAACAUGGGAUCGCAAGUCCAAUAUCUCAAAAAUUAAUUUUAAAUAUUAAAUUUACAGUACCUGUAACUUGAACACAUGACAUUUUCAAAAACUUUUAAAUAAAUUAACCACUCAACCAGAAUUUCUCUAUUUAUAUUUAAUGAAAAUACAUUGUAUAUUAUUAUUAUUGAGCAUAAUGAGCCGAGAUCAACCUUAAUAAUCCUUGCUCGGCUCGUUAAGCUUGACGAGCUUAGACCCUAGACUUGAUCUCAGCUCUUUAAACUCACGAAUCGAGCUUAGAACUUGCAACCCUACAUCCCUACCUAUCAUAUUAAUUAAUUUAUUUGAUUUUGAUGAUGUUCAUUUCUAAAUUUUUUUUUGCUAUUAUCAUACCUCAUAGUAUCAAUAUACAUUCUACGUUUAAUGUCAGGAGGGUCCUAGUAAUGGAUUUCAUUGAGGGAAUUCCGAUACUUAAUCUUGAAAUUGAAAUGGUUAUGUGUGGCCUUAAGCCCUUAAUCCUUAUGGGAAGAUAUCAGAUGCUGCAAAGAAGUAACUCUCUCCGAGCACAAGAUUGCAGUCUCUUUGAUUUUAAUAUGUAUACUCAUCUCUAUCUGUCGCUUUUGUUGCUUAUUCAUAUAUAUUGCUUGCACUGUUAAUUAAUUUUAUAACCUAUAACUUCACGAUAUUCUAAAGAUUGCAGUCUUCCCGUUUUUAUACUUUUAUGAAUGGUAUAAUAUUUGUACAUCCAUUGUAGAUCGUAACAUAGUGCUAGGUAAUGUAAUACUGAAGUUAUGGUCGUUGAUCUUUUUGUGACAGAAAUAUCUUGAAGAACUUGACCAAUGCUUAUGGUCAAAUGAUAUUAAAGAGUGGGUUCUUUCAUGCAGACCCUCAUCCUGGAAAUAUUUUGAUUUGUAAGAAUUCUGAGGUAUGUUUUCAAUUAUAGAAACAUCAGCUUUCUCUCUAUAUACUUUAAUCAUUUCGUAUCACGUGUUUUUCAGGUUGCAUUGCUAGACUAUGGACAAGUAAAACAUCUCCCAGAAUAUUUGAGGCUAGGAUAUGCUAAUCUUGUUCUUGCUAUGGCAGAUAAUGAUCCUUUGAGAGCAGUACAGAGUUACAAGUAUGUGUAUGUGUCGUAAACUAUUAUGCAUAGACGGUAUAAAGUUACAGAUUUGACAUGUUUACAUAUGAUAAUUGUUGAACUCGUGAAGAAUUUAAUUACAAAGUCAAAGCAUUGCUAAUACUAUUUUACAGGAAUUUACAUUCUUUAGUAGAUAUCAUCGCCAAUUCACUCUCUUUCUAGUGGUUUGAUAUUAUUAAGAGUAAUUUUGCAGAGACCUUGGAAUUGAAACAUCGAGUACAUGUGCUGAUGAAUCGAAGGAGUUGCUUCAAUUGGCUCGGUCAAUGUUUGAUACUAAGCUCCCACCUGGAGUAACAAUUUUAUCUCCAUUUGCAGAAGAUUCAUCAUUACAAAAAGUUUCUGUUCCAGUAAGAAAUUAGUUUUGAGUAUUGUACGGUAUUGCAACAGAAUCAUUAAUUGGACAGUUUAAUCUUAAUUGCAGAGUUUUCCAGAGGAGUUGUUCUCUGUUCUACGCACAAUGCAAUUGCUGAGAGGACUUAGUGUUGGUAUGGGUGUGAAUUAUUCUUGUGCAGAACAGUGGAGGCCUAUAGCCGAAGAGACAUUGCAUAAAGCUGGAAAAUUGAAAGGUAUCGAUUGCUUGAUAUAUUGAGAUGCAAAUUAUAUGCAUCAUAUUGUAUAGAAAAUAUGUGACUAUUGCAAUAUUGCUUAUUUUACUUCAGAUUUUGAACUCAGAUCGAGGAAGCAAGGAGUGUUGAGAAAAAAAUUAGAGAGAUGACAAAGAAAUGGUGGUAUAAUGAAAAAUAUUUUUUUAUGAUUUGAUGUAUACACUCAUUAUUAUUUGUGUAACCAAAGCAACACGUUUUCUUUGUAUGAAAAUUGAAAUAAUGGCAAUUAACCAACCUAUUACAUAUCAAUUAUCAUUAAAUAACUGAAUGAAAGAAAUGGUGAUCUUGUUUUCAGCAAUCUCUUCCAAGCAUUUCCAUCUGGCGUCGCGUUUUCUGGUAAUUUCCAUUUCUUUCAUUUCCACUUCAUGCAAUUUGCUGAUGCAUCCACGGAUUAAUUCUGGAUCAUGAUCAUAGAUUAUUUUCCUCACACUUAAUGUAAGACUCUGCACAGCACGGUUCCAAUGAUUCUUAUUUCUCUCUAAAGCAGGGAGGACGAUGGGAAGUAUGACUCUGAUGUUUUGCCUGAUCAUAUUCUCAAUGCGAUCGUUGUUCCGUAAAAACAACGCCCGCUCAGCCACCUGUGCACAUGCAUUGUUUGAGAGAGAGAGUAUGAAAAAAGAAGAGAAUGAAAAAUAAUAACCUGAAAAUGUGGGCUGGAAAUGCAGCUUCCAAUCUGUUGAAAGAGUGGGAUCAUGCACCGUUGAAAUUCAGGAAUCUCUGUUAAAUCAAGGAUUUGUUCUAAUUCCACCAGGAACAUUACUUCCUUUGAGCUAUUUGUCAAUGGCCAAUACUUAAGCAUACCCCUUAUUACAGAAUCAGCAAGUUUGCAGUCUUUAUCUACAAACUGUGCAAUGCAGUGUGACAACUGGCGAUGAUAAGAUGGUAGUGACUUAGGUUUAUGCAGAGGAAUCAAUACCUUUAUGAGAAACAGUUUAUGUUCUUCUUUAAGUGGCAGAGCAAAUCCAUUGAUAAUACUGCCUAGGAUCUCUAAAAGCUCUGCAAUCCCAUUGUGGUUCUCUAUUUCAAAUAUUAAUUGAAAGAAGAUAUUGUUUACAGCUCUCCUGAUAAAUGGGCGAUGAACCGUGAAUUUACCAUACAUUCGUUGAAGAAUAGCCUUUAAGUACUCUCUUUCUCUUUGACUUCAGAGUCAAACAAUUCCAGUAACUUCAAAACAGUCAAUUGGUCUAUAUAUCUCUUUGCCAACUUGACAUCUGUUUCUGGAGAUGUAAUGAACCUGGGCAGUAACUCGUACACAGCAUGUAAAUGCAGCCAUGCAGGUUCCAUGGAUGCUUCGUCUUCAUCUGUUUCAAAGUCUUCCACACCCUUAUUGGACGGACUUAAUGCUCUGAAUAGGUUGAGAGAGAUCAUUCUCAUGACUUCUUUCAUGAUAAUCUCCGGAAACUUUGAAUUUGCAGAAUUGACAUAUUCUACCAGCUCCAAAAGUGUCCGUCGUUUGACAUCUUUCUCAGUUAAAUUCUUGGUCAUGUCAGUGAAAUCGAAGAUAACAUAGCACAUGUUGAGUUUUUUGAUGAACAAAUCCUGUUUCUCAGCAGCGCUAGAUAUAUCAUCAAAUCCUGGAAGUGGUUCAUGUACCUAGUUGAUCGCAUUUGAUUGCUGGUAGUCAUUGCUGUUCUCGAAUUUUAUUGGAUUUUUAGGUAUUCGUCCUAGAAUUUGUUUGAUCAUCAUGUCUAGCAACUAUCAAGAUCGUAGAAUUAACAUUCUUAUUAUAUCUACUCUACUUUUUAGUUUACUUGCAAAUAAUUAACAUUCUUCUUCUAACCUCUAUCCUCUUGAUUUCCUUUGUUUUGUCUGGUGUAGUGGUGGAUGAAAUUGUCAGGGGAAAUAAAGCAAUUAACCCCUUAAACCCUUAAGAAAGAUAAAACAAGUACACAAGAGAAAUAAAGCAAUUAACCCCAUAAGGGCUAAUAGACAAAUAACCCAAUAUGAGGGUAUAUAAUGUAACUCAGUUAUUAUAAUUUACAUCAUCAAGUUUAUCUCUAUUACAUCAUCUAUCUUCCUCCUGUACUACCUCUCUUCUCCGAUCAUCAAUCUGCUCCUCCGACUUCUCCGACCAUCUUCACUUUCUCAACAUGGUAUCAGAGCCAUCGAUCCUACACCGCUCUCAAUCUCUGAGUUCCCUCUCCGAACACACACAAGCAACCUUCCUACAAAAACAGGCCAACAACACCUCAACCCAAUCCCCUCCACCACUACCCAAUCUCGAAAAUCCAGAGGAUGACAGCAUCCUCAUCAACGGAACCAUCAACAAUCCCCAUCGCCUCCCAACGUCCUAUAACAUAAACUCACUCUUUCGCAACCCCAUGAACAAGACAGAUUAUAUCUGUUGGAAGUCGCACUUCCUGGGAGUCUUGAAACUCCAUGAUCUCUCCGGCGUAAUCAAUGAACCGGACCAGAAGUUGGAAACCACUACUGGGGAUGUCAACACCCAAUACUCAAAAUGGGUGAAGUCCGAUCAACUUGUACUCACGUGGAUAAGAGCAACUGUCUCCCCGGCGGUACAAUCCAUGAUCCUACACUGCACCACCUCAAAGGAGGCAUGGCACUUGCUGGAUCGGUUCCUCUCGCCACUAUGCAGUAUCCAUAUCAAGGCACUGAGGACAAAGCUACGAGCCACCAAAAAGAAGCCUGAAGUCUCCAUGUCUGAGUACUUGAUGAAGGUCAGAGCAACCAUCGAUGCCAUUCGUGCUGCCGGCUCCGUGAUAGCUGAGGAAGAAAUCAUUGGCUUCGUGGUUGACGGACUCGACGAAAACUACAGAAGUUUCCUGACGCAUCUUCACUUCAGCCCAGCCACAUCAUUUGACGAAUUGGUCAGUCACCUUCUCCAAGAAGAGGAUCUGCUCAAAAGAACAGAGCAGCCGGUCAACCCCAUCGCAUUCUCCGCGCAACAGCAGUCGUCGCAACAUCAUUCGUCGACAGAAGGAAAUAACUCCAAUCAACAACCGAUAGGAAACAACUCUCACAACCAAAACAACUUCAGAGGCCGGCCCAGGGGACGCGGAGGCCGAUAUCGAGGAGGACGAUUUAAUGGGGGACACUUCGGCAGAGGAGCAAACAAUCAACACUACAGGGCACCAACAUAUCACCCCCCCCCCCAACUAUCGACAUCCAGAACACUUCUCGCCGCCGCUACUACCAACACCAGUCUCUAUCGGUGAACAGGUGUGCCAAAUAUGCAAUCGCGCGGGCCACACAGCGAGGUUCUGUAAUAAUCGGCGUAACUAUGCAUACAACGCUCGCCUCAUCAAUGACGACAACUGUGCCAUGUCCGUCCACAGCAGCGCUCCGUCAGCAACAUCUGAAAGCUCGUGGUGUCUCGACAGUGGGGCGUCGAACCACAUGUCUCCAUCUCUGAACUCCUUCAACUCCUUCCAACCUUAUCAAGGUAAAGAUACUAUCAUGGUUGGAAAUGGUUCCCAAUUGCCGAUACUAAGGCAAGGGACUGUCUCUCUCACGACCUCUCUCGGUCGAAUUUUAAUUCCCAAUGUCCUAUACGUACCAGGACUCCACAAAAACCUACUUUCAAUUCAAUCACUUUCCAAUGAUCUAAACUGUGUUUGUUCCUUUGAUUCUAAUGGGUUCACCGUCAAGGCCAAGGAGACGGGAGCUACUAUCAUGAAUGGCAGUAGUGGCCAAGGCCUUUACCACCUCGACAAUUCAACGACAGGCAUCUGCAAGGGAAAACAAGCGUCUGCCUGUACGAGAUUGACGCCGGUGGUAUGGCAUCGUCGGUUGGGUCAUCCGGCUCAACCGAUUUUAUCUAGCGUUCUAAACUCCGUCUCUCCAGCUUCGAUCGACCGUCGACCAUCUACUCUUCCUUUCUUCCAGGUCUGUGCCCUCAAUAAAGCAAAGAGACCUGCCUUUCAUCAUCGUACCUACAUAGCCAGACAGCCACUGGAACUCAUCCACAUCGACCUUUGGGGGCCGGCUUCGGUGACUUCCAGAGAAGUGUUCAAGUACUAUGCGUGCAUAGUGGAUGAUUUCUCCAGAUUCACCUGGUUCAUCUCUUUAGUUCAAAAAUCCGACUUCACUUCCCAUUUCAUUAACUUUUGUAAUUUCGUCGAACGGUCAUUUGUCUUUAAAAUUCAAAAAAUUCAAUGUGACGCCGGCGGUGAAUUCGUCGGCCACAUUCUUCGAAACACUCUCUCAAAACUCGGUAUCCAACAACGUUUUUCCUGCCCUUAUACGCCACAGCAGAACGGCGUCGCCGAACGGAAACAUGGACACAUCGGCGACGUCGGCAGAUGCUUCCUACACCAGGCAUCACUACCACUAGAGCUCUGGACAGACGCGUACUCGAGCGCGACAUUCGUCAUUAAUCGACUUCCAUCAGUCACAACGAACAAGAAGUCACCGUACGAGGUACUAUUUGGGCGAAUCCCAGACUACUCACUACUACGGACCAUCGGAUGUCUCUGUUUUCCAAUCACACCCAACUCUCAGAGAACAAAGCUCCAGAGUGUGGCCACUCGAUGUGUAUUCAUUGGUUAUUCAAAUACGCACAGAGGGUACAAGUGCAAAGACCUAUCUACUGGGAAAAUAACAGUGUCACGGCAUGUUCUCUUUGAUGAAUGCACGUUUCCGUUCCAGCAGCAAACCCAAACCCAAGUACAGCCAGAGUCACACUUCAGACAACUGCCAUCUGCACUAAUUUCACCUCCUACAAGGCUACACACGAUUCGGGAAGCUGAUCAGAUACGAUCAGAAGAUCAUCCAGGAUCCUUAUCGACACAGACGACACAGACUGAUCGUCCAUCAGAAGAAACAGAGGACGAUCGAUCAGCUAUCUACCUCAAUCCGUGUACCGAAACAACGGCGUAUCCCGACACAACUAUCAUAAAGGAUACGCCGAAUAUCAAUCAAGACUGCAACACGAGAAAAUCUGAAAGAGUAAAGACACCACCCUCCUGGCUAAAGGACUAUGAGACAGAGGAUCAUGAACGAACAGGGCGCCAAAAUUCGUCGGCCACAAUCACCAGUUUAAAAGAAACCGGGUCCCCCAAUUCAACAAGGAAUGAAUCCGCUCAAUCAAAACCCGCCCGACUACACUCAUCCGAAUUACCCAAAUCAGUCGGACACUCCCAAACACAAUCCCAAAAUUUAAACAAGAUCCGACUCAUCAAAUUCAAUCGGUCGGACACUCACCCGAUAUCAGACGAACAACUGAGCACCAUCGUCUCCGACCCACCCCGCCGGACUGCGACCAAAAACUGCAACCUGGCCAUUAGUGAACAGUCCGAGCCGACGUCCGUCAGAGAAGCAUUCAAAUCUCCCCUCUGGAUGGAUGCAAUGACAGAUGAAAUCCAAGCACUUAACAUCAACAAUACCUGGAAGCUAGUUCCCAGACAAUCGGGAAUGAAUGUAGUUGGCUCCCGAUGGGUCUUCCAGGUUAAACAAAACUCUGACGGAUCCCUCAAUAGGUACAAAACUCGGCUUGUAGCGAAGGGUUUUCACCAGAAAUACGGGGAGGAUUAUGAUCUCACGUACAGCCCGGUGGUGAAGGCUGCCACUAUACGAACGAUACUGGCAAUUUCGACAUCCCAACGGUGGAAACUUCAUCACCUUGAUGUCUGUAAUGCGUUUCUUAACGGUCAUCUAACCGAAACAGUCUUCAUGGAACAACCUCCAGGGUUCACAAUGAAGAAAACAACGGCCAAAUCUCACGUCUGCAAACUACAAAAAGCGAUCUAUGGCCUGAAACAGGCACCGAGAGCCUGGUAUCAACGACUAAAAGAGUUUCUUCACAGUUGUCAAUUCCUCAAUUCCACAUCUGAUUCAUCACUAUUCAUCAGAAGAAACAACGGAAGGGUCAUCUACGUUCUAAUCUACGUAGAUGACUUCGUAAUCACGGGCGACUGCGAUACAGAGGUUAAAGCUUUCAUCGACUCGGUCUGCAGACAAUUCAAAUGCAGGGAUCUCGGACAACUAUCCUUCUUCCUAGGCAUUGAAAUGGAAUCGACUGCAACGUCCACGAAGAUCACACAGAGAAAGUACUCCCUGGAUCUGCUUGCGAAAUUCAAGAUGAACAAUUCCAAACCAAUCUCGACGCCAUCGACACCAGGAUCCAAACUAACAGCCAACUCAGGGACACCAAUCGAGGAUCCGACUCCAUAUCGGAGCCUGGUUGGAGCUUUGCAAUAUCUCAGUCUCACUCGCCCAGACAUCGCAUUCUCAGUUAAUCAAGUAUGCAAAUUUAUGCAAUUACCAACAACAACCCAUUGGCAGGCAGCCAAACGCAUCCUUCGAUACAUCAAAGGCACCAUUGGUUUUGGGCUCACCUACACACCUUCAACCUCCACAGACCUAAACAUCAUGGUCGACUCGGACUGGGCGGGUGACCCAGAUGACAGACGCUCAACGACCGGAUCUUGUGUCUUCCUCGGCCCAAACCCGGUGGCCUGGAUGUCCAAAAAGCAGCCGACGGUAUCACGAUCCAGCGCCGAGGCUGAAUACAGAGCCAUCGCACAUGUCACGGCCGAGCUCAAAUGGUUCUGCUCGCUCCUAAGGGAGCUGGGAGUGUAUCUGAGACAAGUUCCAGUUAUUCACACUGAUAGCAGAUCGGCAAUUUUUAUGGCAACCAACCCAGUGAUUCAGGCUAAAACGAGGCACAUUGAAAUCGACUACCACUUCAUCAGAGAGUUCAUCAUCCGCGGAGAUAUCAGCCUCAAAUUCGUUCGGUCGGAAAAUCAAAGUGCAGACAUCUUCACCAAAGCUCUACCGGCGUCACUCUUUCAUCGACACCGGCAACGUCUGCGACUCACCGGUGUCGAAGGGGGGUGUCAGGGGAAAUAAAGCAAUUAACCCCUUAAACCCUUAAGAAAGAUAAAACAAGUACACAAGAGAAAUAAAGCAAUUAACCCCAUAAGGGCUAAUAGACAAAUAACCCAAUAUGAGGGUAUAUAAUGUAACUCAGUUAUUAUAAUUUACAUCAUCAAGUUUAUCUCUAUUACAUCAUCUAUCUUCCUCCUGUACUACCUCUCUUCUCCGAUCAUCAAUCUGCUCCUCCGACUCCUCCGACCAUCUUCACUUUCUCAACAGAAAUCUUGGUUCGUUUCAUUCUAUAAUUUUAAUUAUUUCAGUAUAAUGAUAUGGUCAAUGGGUUUGAGUUCGCAUCCACCUCCAUGUGGACAGGGGCGUAUCUAGGGCCCUUGCCCUCCACCCUAAAUGUUGGAAAAAAUUGAAGAUCUAUAUGUAAUAAUUUUUUUAUAUAGGGUUAAAUGUAAUUUUUACAAUAUAUUAAUAUUUUUUUAAAGGUUAAUAUAUAAAUUUUACAAUAUUUUAUACCCUCACGUUUCACAAAUUUUCUCCCCCUCUUCUCCCCCAAAACCCUUAUCUUCUCCGACCUCCGGGAAUCUCUUCUUAGAUUCUUCACUGUGGUUGCUGCCUUGCUGGAAAUCUCUUCUCCAGUUAUCUCUCCGUUGCUACUUGCUGGAUUCUCUCAUUUCUCUGGUAUUUAUUUGUUGAUCUUGUUUGUUGUUUCUACAUAUUAUUUGGGUCUGAUGGAUAUGAUACGAUGGUGAUGGUCUGAUGGAUUUUAUUGAUGUUUGAUUUAUUUAGUUGAUUAGUCCUCAUAUGAAGUUAGGUUCUCCGGUCUGCAUAUGAAGUUAGAACUCACAUGUUAAUGUUCUGUUUUUGAAAAAGAAAAGCACAUUAAGAGAUUUUCUUUUCAUCUUCGCACAUAUAUUCAAGUUUGGGAAUGUUGAAAAUUGACGGCGGUAUUGUUCCUGAUAGAUAGUUGAAACUCAAAUCCCUAAAAAAAUUCCAAGGAUGUGAAUUUAAUGAUUUUAUAUUGAUGAAAUGUGUUGUUAAACAAAUGGAGAGUAUAAAAAAAAUAAAACUUACAGAUAUGCCAAAUUUUCAAAUUCCCCAAUGCUGGAUCCUGGAUGGAAUCGUACCAGCUAUUCUAGUGUUUCUUAAAAUCCUAUUAUCAUUCAAACACAGCUAAAAUAUAAGUAUUAUGUAAAUUAAAAAAAUAUAGAUAGAUAGAUCAUAUAUAGAUGAAUCUUUCUUAAUGGUUUGGACUUUAGGGUUAAUGUAUUGAAUAUUCCUAAAUCAAUUUGAAUAUUAAUUAAUGUAUUGGAUAUUAAUUAUGGAAUGAAUGUAUUGAAUUUUUAUAGGUUUUUAUAAUCUAUUUUAUGAAUAGGUCGUGCCAAAAUUUUUAUAGGUUUUUAAAUCAGUACAAAAAAAUUUCCCGCCUUCGGCGAUUCUUGCCCCCCCUGUCGGGGAAUCCUGGAUACGCCACUACAUGUGGAUCCGCCAAUGUUCUCAUUUCUUCACCACCUUAUUGAUUUUGUUUAUUAAUUUCAUAUUUCCCCUCCUUUCUAUCGAUCCUUCUGCAGACCUCUUUCAGAAUUUGUUCCUCUUGCAAAAUCCGUAACUAUUAACUACGAACUGUGAGAUCUGGGAUUUGACAUCCAAAAAUUCCCAUUUUAAUUUCUUAGCCUUUUUCCUAUCCAAAUUAUCUGUCAACUGUCAGAUGAUUUUAUGCAAACACUUUCUAAUAUUUGCUUGUCGACAUCCUAUUUUGGGUUUGUAGCUUGAAUAAAUUUUCAAUUUUUAUCGUAUAAUGUAUUACUCUCGGUAAUCAAGCUUAUCAACUUCAGCUCUGAUUUUUUGUUUCAUGUCUGCAGUUAUUUUAAGACCAAGUUACUGUCUUCAAUAACACGCUAAAAAAUCAUGGCCUCCCGUUUCUGGACUCAGGUAAUCACGGCUUGUGUUAUUUCCCCAAAGAAAAUACUAAAAUAGUGCUCCCUUCUUGGUACCCUUUAUUUUGAAGACUUAUUUAUUUCUCUUGUGAUGAAUUACCAGGGUGGUAGUGACACCGAUGAAGACGAAAGUGAGUAUGAAAUUGAUUCAGAGGAUGAGGUCGAGCCAAGUUCUGGUGCAAAACCAGCAAACCGUUAUCUGGAGGAAAAUGCUAGUGAUAGCGAUGACUCUGAUGGCCACAAACGUGUGGUGCGCUCUGCCAGAGACAAGCGCUUUGAUGAAAUGUCAGCUACUGUAGAUCAGAUACGGAAUGCCAUGAAGAUCAAUGAUUGGGUAAGCCUGCAAGAGAGCUUCGACAAAAUUAACAAACAGCUAGAGAAGGUCAUUCGGGUGAUGAAAACCGACACGGUCCCCAAUCUUUACCUCAAGGCUCUAAUCAUAUUAGAGGAUUUUCUUGCCGAGUCCCUGGCAAAUAAGGAUGCCAAGAAGAAGAUGAGCAGUAGCAAUGCCAAGGCAUUGAACUCAAUGAAGCAGAAACUAAAGAAGAAUAACAAGCAGUAUGAGGAGGCGAUUACAAACUACAGACAGAAACCCGAAACUGAGAGUGAAUCGGAGAGUGAUGCUAACGACUCUGAAUCAGUUUCAGAAUUUGAGGAAGAUCCAACAGCAGCUGCACCCUCCGAUGAGGACAACGUCGAUGACCAGGAUCAAAAUGAUAAGGGUUGGGAGCGACAGAUGAACAAAAAAGACAAACUUAUGGACAAGCAGUUCAUGAAGGACCCAAGUGAGAUCACAUGGGAAAUAGUUGACAAGAAGUUUAAAGAUAUUGUGGCUGCAAGAGGUAAAAAGGGAACCAGCAGAGCUGAGCAAGUUGAGCAGCUUACAUUUUUGACUCGAGUUGCAAAAACGCCUGCUCAGAAGCUUGAAAUCUUGUUCAGUGUGAUAUCUUCCCAGUUUGAUAUCAAUCUGAGUAUUAGUGGUCACAUGCCUAUAAAUAUUUGGAAAAAGUGCUUAGACAAUUUCCUAGGUGCGUUAGACAUCCUUGAGCAGAAUCCAAACAUAGUGGUUGAUCAAUCUGCCGAGCCUGAAGAUAAGGAAUCACAUAAAGAUUCAGAUUAUGAAGGAACCAUCCAUAUCUCAGGGAGCUUAGUAGCUUUGCUUGACCGGCUAGAUACUGAAUUUUACAAGAGCUUGCAAUGCAUUGAUCCCCAUACCAAGGAGUAUGUUGAUAGACUUAGAGAUGAGCCUAUGUUUUCUCUUCUUGCUCAAAAUGUUCAAAGAUAUUUGGAAAAAAUGGGUGAUUUUAAAGGAGCUUCCAAAGUGGCUUUGAGACAGGUUGAGCUUAUAUAUUAUAAGCCUCAGGAAGUUUACGACUCGAUGAGAAAACUAGCAGAACAUGAAGCUCUUGACAGAGAACUUGGUGGAGAUGAGAAUCAAAAUGCCGAAGAAAUCAAAGGACCUUCUGCAUUUAUUGUUAUCCCAAAAGUUGUUCCACGGAGUCCUACGUUCCCAGAAAGUAGCCGAGCAUUGAUGGAUAGAUUGGUUUCCCUUAUAUACAAGAGUGGUGAUGAAAGGACGAAGGCUCGAACAAUGCUCUGUGAUAUCUAUCACCAUGCCAUCUUUGAUGAAUUUUCCAUUGCUUGUGAUCUUUUACUAAUGAGUCAUCUCCAGGAAGGAGUCCAACAUAUGGACAUAUUGACACAAAUGCUGUUCAAUAGGGUGAUGGCUCAACUUGGUCUCUGUGCUUUUAGAGCUGGCCUUACUAAAGAAGCUCACGGAUGCCUUUCUGAACUCUAUUCAGGUGGAAGGGUAAGGGAGUUGCUUGCCCAAGGUAUCUCGCAAAAUCGAUAUUAUGAAAAGACUCUAGAGCAGGUAUCUUUGUAUUAGAUAUUUAAGUUUUUUAUUUAUAUAUUUUUUACUCACGAAUCAUAUCAUUUUGUUCUUUUCUAAAAUACAUUGCAAGAUUUCCUAUGCUUGUGACGAGCAGAUAGUCGCAUAUAUAUGUCAUAUUGUAACUGCGCAAAUUUCGGCUUGCAUAUUUGCAAGCAUGUGAUUGUAUGUUUGGUGGAAAUUUACGCAGAUCCAUGCUAGAAUUUUGACCCCAUCUCGAUGGAAGAUUUAAAUUUCAUUAGUUAGUAGAUGACCGUCAACCGACCGGUCGAAUAAUUAACAAGUAUCAAGUUCAUUUAUGAUAAAGUGUAGAGAAAGUGAUGGGAUUUGUGAGAAUCUAGGAUUGCAGCAACAUGCCAAUCCUCAACAUUUAGCUAUGGAAGAUGAAUAAACGAUAGUCAUGAUCUCAAGCUAUAAGAUGAUUGAACUCUUUAGAGCUUUUUUUUAAAUUCUUAUAAGUAAUAUCAUUAUGUUACGAAGUAUGAACACUCAACUUUCUUUUAGUUUGUGUUUUGAACCUUAUUGCUUGAGAUACAUAAAUAUCUUUCUAAGUAUUUAAACCUUAUUUUUAAGAUACUAAGCAUUUUCUAAAUAUGAUAUAGGCUUAUAAGCUUAUUUAUCCCUAUUUUUUUUGCAUUAUAUUACCCACUGAAAAUCCAUUCUUCAUUAUUUCUCUCAUAGUCUAAUAUUCACUUUAUUGUAAUUAUUUUCAUUUACUAUUUAUCAAUUGACUGUCUAUGCUAAUUGACUAUGGCUGUUCUUUGUCUAUUUAUUUGGAUGCCUUUUAUUAUAAAAAAAUACAGUGUGAUAAUUAGAUUUUUAUAUGUGAUUGCUGCUGUUAUUGUAAAUAUAAUUGCUUUGUUUUCUUGUGCAAUCAUGAUGCAUUGAUUUGCAUAUUGAAUGUUUUCAUAGUUCAUCUUUUUAUGUUGUAAGAUAUGGAUUUAUUUGGGUUUGUUUUGUUUUUUGCAGGAAAAAAUUGAGAGGAUGAGACAAAUGCCCUACCAUAUGCACAUAAAUCUUGAGCUUCUAGAAGCAGUCCAUUUAAUUUGUGCUAUGCUCCUUGAGGUUCCCAACAUGGCUCUAAACUCAAAUGAUGUUAGACAGAAAGUGAUGAAUAAGAAUUUCCGUAGACUCCUUGAUAUUAGUGAACGACAGACUUUUGGAGGACCUCCUGAAAAUGUUAGAGACCAUAUAAUGGCUGCGGCAAAAGGUCUUAGAAAGGGAGAUUUUGAGAAGGCCUUUGAUUUCAUCAGCUUCCUUGAUACAUGGAAGCUUUUGAAGAACAAAGAAAGUGUUCUGGCAAUGUUGAAAUCCAAGAUCAAAGAAGAAGCUUUAAGGACAUAUUUAAUUUCCAAUGCGUGUAGCUACGUGUCGUUGAGUUUGGAUCAUCUCAUUCUUAUGUUUGGCCUUUCUAACACACAAGUUCACAGCAUUGUGAGUAAGAUGAUGAUCACAGAGGAAUUGCAAGCAAGCUGGGACCAACCUGCAAAGUGUAUAAUAUUCCAUAGUAUGGAGCAAACAAGAGUGCAGACCCUCUCUUUCCAGCUUUCGGACAAACUCAAUGUUCUUGCUGAUAGCAAUGAAAGAGCAUAUGAGGUCCGAACAGGUGGUAGUUUGGAUGGGCUUCCUUC